GGGUUCUCAAAUCCAGAUUUCAUUCUGCAGUCCCGGCAGUGUUUUGACGACUGCCUCACUAAAGGAAGCUAAAAGCUGUGCUGAUGCCUCCCAGACGAGCCUCGUUGGAAGCACAGAACCUUCACGGCUCGGAGCCGCUGACACCGUGACAAAGGGAGCCCUGCUCAGGAGAAAGAGCAAAUGAGAGGAAGUUGCACUUUUUCAGGUGUCAGGCUGGAGGAAGCCACUUGAAGAUGAGUCUACCUCUGCCUUAGGAUUGCCUGAUGGCCUGUGCCAUUCCAUGUUAUGUCUACUGAUUUGCUCCCUGUAUUCAACGAUUUUUUUUUUUUUUUUUUUUACUUAAUUCUCUCUUACUGACCCUGAGAGUGACCAUAUUUUUAACCAAUUUGGUCUUCAGCCUCAAAACUUAGCUCUUUCCUUUUGUGGUCCCUGAAUCCUACCACGUGUCAUGGUGGCUGUGAAGAUGUUUGCCAAGCCUGCUGAGAAGGCUCAUCUGUGGCAUCCAAAAGCAGAAAUUUCAACUCUGGACCCCUGUGACCUGCCUUUGGAAUUAUGGAUACCCAGCACUGUUUUGAAAUAUCAGUGGACAUCCAGUUUUUAAAAGCCCUCAGAGCUUUGGGAGACACCCCUUUAUCUCUCUGGCAUGUCAGAGAACCGAUUCAACCCUUCUCAUCUCCUCCUCCUUCCCUCUCUUGGGCCAUCAGGAUGCAGCAGCAACUCACUGUGCAUGUUUUUACAGCUCUUCUCCAGUAAUGCUGCCAUUUCCACUGCAGACCACAGGAUAAACGGACUGCUUCACAGUGGCCCAGGAUACCCUUUUAAGUAGGAGAGGGAGAAGAAAGUACUGUUUUGAUCUAAAAUUAAGCAAACGUUCUUCAAUAAACCCACCAUGAGACUUGACCACUAAUGGUGACCAGCAGUGGCUUUGUCAUGGCCCUGCCCACUGGGGGCAGGCACAUGCCAGGGCCAGGGUAGGCUGCCAGCUGGUGAGCACGAAUAGGUGGCUGGUGGAGCGCACGCAGUGGGAAGGGCAGAUGGCUCCAUUUUGAUUUGUUAGCAAGCUGCUUCCUCGGAAGGGGCUUUCCCUUCAGUGGAGUCUGCACCCCCAGCCUCAGCUGUCUUGGAGCAGAUGUGUAUAGUUAGAGAUGGGGACCUUUUCACUGUAAAUACUGCUCACAUGUUCCUAGGCUGACUUUACUAUGUGCAGAGCCUCUUCCCAAAUAUCCAAAUCCCCUCUGUUGGGUACUACAGAACAGAUGUUACCCUGCCUCCUAUUACAUUAAUUUACGAACUUUACAUAUGCUGAGUUACGGACCCUAAGCUGUUGCAUGUGCUUGGCUCUUAUGUUCCAAAAAGUACAUUUGUAUGGUUUUGUGGAAACUGUGCUGUUCUGCUUUUGCAGUCUGUGAGAUUCUGAUGUUUUUUUUUUCUCAUCAGCAAUUUUCCUUGUCUUGGAACAUCAGAGCUUGAAGAAAGGGAUUCUAGCAGCCCACCUCUCUCCUUCCUAAUCCAGAUGGUUAGAGGCUUAGAGAGAGGUGGCGGUUGCUCUGAGUUUACCAAAUUCAGUGACAAACCCCUUCUAAUUUCUAAUCCAUCUGGCAGCCUUCAUUUACCAAAAGUUGACUUUUGAUAGUAUAACUUUUAUACACUGUGAGACAACUUAUUUUAAAAAACAGUUUAGAAAUGUUUAAUUUUUUUUUGAAAGAAUUUUUAAGGUCAGGCACCAUGGGUCAUGCCUAUCAUCUCAACACUUUGAGGACCGAAGUGGGAGGAUCAUUUGAGGCCAAGAUUUCGAGAUCAGCUUGGGCAACAUAGUGAGACUCUGUCUCUAAAAAAUUUAAAAAAAAUAGCCAGGUGUGGUGGCGCAUGCCUGUAGUCCCAGCUACUUCGGAGGCUGAAGUGGGAGGAUCCAUUGAGCCUAGGAGAUGGCAAUUGAGUAAGCCAUGAUUGCACCACUGCACUCC
RNAcentral lists this long non-coding RNA (1964 nucleotides) under Pan troglodytes (chimpanzee). RNAcentral describes it as "long non-coding RNA NONPTRT009932". Lineage: Eukaryota; Metazoa; Chordata; Mammalia; Primates; Hominidae. The record is from RNAcentral.